GCCCUUGUGCCAAGCAGCCGCGGUAAUUCCAGCUCCAAUAGCGUAUAUUAAAGUUGUUGCGGUUAAAAAGCUCGUAGUUGGAUUUCUGUCAACGAGUGGCGCUCCGCCCCUUGUGGUGAGUAGUCGUCAUGCCGUUGGCAUCUUUCUGGGGAGUGUAUCUGCACUUCAUUGUGUGGUGCAUAAGCCAGGACAUUUACUUUGAGGAAAUGAGAGUGUUUCAAGCAGGCGCACGCCGUGAAUACGUUAGCAUGGAAUAAUAGCAUCGGAUCUCGCUCCAAAGCUGUUGGUUUCUUGGGUCGAGAUAAAGGUGAAUAGGGAUUGUUGGGGGCAUUCGUAUUUAACUGUCAGAGGUGAAAUUCUUGGAUUUGUUGAAGACGGACUACUGCGAAAGCAUCUGCCAAAGAUGUUCUCAUUGAUCAAGAACGAAAGUUAGGUGAUCGAAGACGAUCAGAUACCGUCCUAGUCUUAACCAUAAACUAUGCCGACUGGAGAUAGGGGGUCGUUAAAUUGGUGACGCCUUCUGCAUCUUGAGAGAAAUCAAAGUCUUUGGGUUCCGGGGGGAGUAUGGUCGCAAGGCUGAAACUUAAAGGAAUCGACGGAAGGGCACCACCAGGAGUGGAGCCUGCGGCUUAAUUUGACUCAACACGGGGAAACUUACCAGGUCCAGACAUAGUGAGGAUUGACAGACUGAUAGCUCUUUCGAGAUUCUAUGGGUGGUGGUGCAUGGGCCGUUCUUAGUUGGUGGAGUGAUUUGUCUGGUUAAUUCCGUUAACGAACGAGACCUUAACCUGCUAAAUGGGCUCCAGAAUCUUCGGUUCCAGGAGGCCUUCUUAGAGGGACGUCGCGUGUCUAACGCUAGGAAGUGUGAGGCAAUAACAGGUCUGUGAUGC
RNAcentral lists this ribosomal RNA (890 nucleotides) under uncultured eukaryote. RNAcentral describes it as "SSU rRNA". It matches the Rfam family "Eukaryotic small subunit ribosomal RNA", at positions 559 to 1470 of the family's 1831-position model. The record is from RNAcentral.